UGGGGAAUUUUGGACAAUGGGCGCAAGCCUGAUCCAGCCAUGCCGCGUGCGGGAAGAAGGCCUUCGGGUUGUAAACCGCUUUUGNCAGGAAGAAAUCUUCUGAGUUAAUACCUCGGGAGGAUGACGGUACCUGAAGAAUAAGCACCGGCUAACUACGUGCCAGCAGCCGCGGUAAUACGUAGGGUGCAAGCGUUAAUCGGAAUUACUGGGCGUAAAGCGUGCGCAGGCGGUUUUGUAAGACAGAGGUGAAAUCCCCGGGCUCAACCUGGGAACUGCCUUUGUGACUGCAAGGCUUGAGUGCGGCAGAGGGGGAUGGAAUUCCGCGUGUAGCAGUGAAAUUGCGUAGAUAUGCGGAGGAACACCGAUGGCGAAGGCAAUCCCCCUGGGCCUGCACUGACGCUCAUGCNCGAAAGCGUGGGGAGCAAGCAGGAUUAG
Molecule: ribosomal RNA, 435 nt
Filed under: uncultured bacterium
Lineage: Bacteria
Description: partial 16S ribosomal RNA
Rfam family: Bacterial small subunit ribosomal RNA
Source: RNAcentral